UGGAACGGGUAUGAGCCCUUCUUGAUGAUGUUCAUCAUCGGAGUCAACAACAACUUGUACAUAU
Molecule: small RNA, 64 nt
Filed under: Arabidopsis thaliana (thale cress)
Lineage: Eukaryota; Viridiplantae; Streptophyta; Magnoliopsida; Brassicales; Brassicaceae
Description: ATSL122260
Source: RNAcentral